This 309-nucleotide unclassified non-coding RNA is filed under the name Hevea brasiliensis (rubber tree). The record is from RNAcentral. Lineage: Eukaryota; Viridiplantae; Streptophyta; Magnoliopsida; Malpighiales; Euphorbiaceae.
GUUGUGCUCUGCUUGCCGCCGCUACUGCUGCUGCUUCUUCUUGUUUUCCAAUGGGAUGUGAGUUUCAAAUUCUUGUUUUUGUAGUACAUGAACCGAUCAAAUCACUACGGUGCUUGACUCGUAACUUUCCUCUUUUCCUUUCUCGUUUCAUUUCUUAGUUGUUUUUCGCAUUUGGGCUGCAACUACAUUCUCGAUUCUUGAGUUGUUAUAUUAUACAACAAGCAAGAUAUUAACCUAGCCGCCUUCUAGAAACUAGAAAAUCAAAUAAGUUAUACUCAUCUGUAGUUCAUAAAUCAUAAUUGACUUGGA